AUGGACGUUAUAAACGGCAGCUUUAGAAAUGGCUUCAUUUCAUUACUUGAGUCAGUUGGUUUCCUCCAGCAGAUAAACCAACCAACUCACAGCUUUAACCACACCCUAGAUCUAGUCCUGACUUAUGGUGUUGAGGUAGAACAUGUGUCAGUGUUCCCUCGGAACCCAGUCCUGUCAGACCACUCUUUGAUCACUUUUACAUUUAUGAUUAAGGAUUCUUCUAUGCUCAGAACAAAGUCUUACUAUAGCAGAUGUCUUUCAGAUAAUGCUGUAGCUAAGUUUAAGGAAGUGAUCCCUGUGCUGAUCCCAGGACCACCAUGUGUUUCCCCAGGGAUCAAUCAUUAUAAUCUUAGCCCUGCUGAGGUUGACUCUAUUGCUGAAGGUGCAGCAACCUCACUGAGAAUCACGCUUGAUUCUGUUGCCCCCCUGAAAAAGAAAAUAGUAAAUCAGAGGAGGUGUGCCCCCUGGUAUAAUUCACAUAUCAGGACCCUCAAGCAGAAAGUGCGAAGACUGGAAAGGAAGUGGCAUUCCUGUAAGAUAGACAGCUACCAUGUAGCCUGGAAAGACUGUCUAUUAGUAUACAAAAAGGCCCUUCGCAAGGCUAGAACAGCUUAUUUUUCUUCUUUGAUUGAGGAAAAUAAGAACAACCCCAGGUUUCUCUUCAGCACUGUGGCCAAAUUAACCAAGAGUCACAGUGUUUUAGAUCCACGUAUCCCUUCUUCCCUUAGUGGUGAAGACUUCAUGAGCUUCUUCACUGAUAAAGUUCUAGCUAUCAGAGAGAAAGCUAACCAGGCCAUCCCUACAACUGGACCAUCACCAGAUGUGCCGACUGUGGGAACAUGCAGGGUCUCCAACGAGCCCUUAAGCUCCUUCAGCCCUAUAUAUUUUUCUGAGGCGUCAUCGCUAAUUCAGAAAUCCAAGACCACUACGUGUCUUUUAGAUCCCAUCCCAACACACCUGUUGAAGGAUGUUCUACCACUGAUAGGCAGUUCUAUCCUGGACCAGAUCAAUUUCUUUAGUGUCAGGUUAUGUACCCCGGUCCUACAAGGUGGCAGUGAUUAA
This is a long non-coding RNA of Takifugu rubripes (torafugu), 1062 nucleotides long. Lineage: Eukaryota; Metazoa; Chordata; Actinopteri; Tetraodontiformes; Tetraodontidae. The record is from Ensembl.